GACGAACGCUGGCGGCGUGCUUAACACAUGCAAGUCGAACGGAAAGACCCUGCUUUUGUGGGGUGCUCGAGUGGCGAACGGGUGAGUAACACGUGAGUAACCUGCCCUUGACUUUGGGAUAACUUCAGGAAACUGGGGCUAAUACCGGAUAGGAGCUCCUGCUGCAUGGUGGGGGUUGGAAAGUUUCGGCGGUUGGGGAUGAACUCGCGGCUUAUCAGCUUGUUGGUGGGGUAGUGGCUUACCAAGGCUUUGACGGGUAGCCGGCCUGAGAGGGUGACCGGCCACAUUGGGACUGAGAUACGGCCCAGACUCCUACGGGAGGCAGCAGUGGGGAAUAUUGCACAAUGGGCGGAAGCCUGAUGCAGCAACGCCGCGUGCGGGAUGACGGCCUUCGGGUUGUAAACCGCUUUCGCCUGUGACGAAGCGUGAGUGACGGUAAUGGGUAAAGAAGCACCGGCUAACUACGUG
RNAcentral lists this ribosomal RNA (468 nucleotides) under uncultured bacterium. RNAcentral describes it as "partial 16S ribosomal RNA". It matches the Rfam family "Bacterial small subunit ribosomal RNA", at positions 28 to 507 of the family's 1533-position model. The record is from RNAcentral.